CCAAUAGCGUAUAUUAAAGUUGUUGCAGUUAAAAAGCUCGUAGUUGAAUUUCGGGGUUAGUAGGCUGGUCAUGCCUCUGGUAUGUACUGGUCUCACUGAUUCCUCCUUCCUGAUGAACCGUAAUGCCAUUAAUUUGGUGUUGCGGGGACUUUGGACUGUUACUUUGAAAAAAUUAGAGUGUUUAAAGCAAGCUAACGCUUGAAUACAUUAGCAUGGAAUAAUGAAAUAGGACGUUCGAUCCUAUUUUGUUGGUUUCUAGGAUUGACGUAAUGAUUAAUAGUGAUAGUUGACGGCAUUAGUAUUAAAUUGUCAGAGGUGAAAUUCUUUGAUUUAUUGAAGACUAACUACUGCGAAAGCAUUUGCCAAGGAUGUUUUCAUUAAUCAAGAACGAAAGUUAGGGGAUCGAAGACGAUCAGAUACCGUCGUAGUCUUAACCAUAAACUAUGCCGACUAGGGAUCGGAUGAUGUUAAUUUUUUAAUGACUCAUUCGGCGCCUUACG
Molecule: ribosomal RNA, 500 nt
Filed under: uncultured Glomeromycotina
Lineage: Eukaryota; Fungi; Glomeromycota
Description: partial small subunit ribosomal RNA
Rfam family: Eukaryotic small subunit ribosomal RNA
Source: RNAcentral